GACACCUCCAAACAAACUCGGAGACCCCAGAAAUCCUAAGGGCUUUGAGGUAAUCAACUAACACAACUACUUGUUUUUACCGUUUGAUUCUGUUUUAAUGUCCGAAUGUCAGUAAGAAGAAAAUAACGUUUAGAUAUGAAUCUGCAUACGCGAUGUACAUCGGUUAAAUUUAUCUUUGAAAGCUCAUUUAAAGACAUCGCGAGUAAAACAGUUUAACGGUUGCUUUAAUGGAGCACGAGUACAAAAUGCUGCAUCCUCGUCGUAUAUGAAGUUUAAUGCAUUUUAUCAGAAGAAAUUAGAUGCAGAUUUCAGUUGUGUGUCUAUGAAGAAUGAGAGGCCAAUGGAUCCACCAACAGCAUUUAAGAGAUCAGACGUAAUGGAACCCGUCUGUAAAAAGGUGAAGUUUGAGCAAUCUGUGAAUCAACCACAAUAUGUGUGUCCUCAAUUCAGCCAUGACUCUAAAAUUAAUGAAGUCCUGAACACAUUUAAAUCAAAUCUGAGAGAGAAGUUUCAGUGUUUGUAUCCACGAACAUCAAAGCAGAGAAACUCAACACUACUGAAUGAGAUCUACACAGAGCUCAACAUCACAGAGAUUAAAAGUGGAGAGGCAGAGGGGGCACCAAUCAAAUGUAAGAACAUCUUUAAACCUUUACCUGCAAAAAACAAACACAUCAGAAGUGUGCUGACAAAGGGAGUCGCUGGCAUUGGAAAAACAGUCUCUGUACAGAAGUUCAUUCUGGACUGGGCUGAAGAGAAAGAGAAUCAGGACGUCCACCUCAUAUUUCCACUUCCUUUCAGAGAGAUCAAUUUGAUGAAGGACAAAACACUCAGUCUUUUAGAUCUUCUUCAUCUUUUCUUCCCAGAGACAAAAGAAAUGGAAAUCUUCAGUGAUAAAUAUAAAGUGUUGUUCAUCUUUGAUGGUUUGGAUGAGUGUCGUCUGUCUCUGGAUUUUAAAAGCAAAUUGAAGUUGUGUGAUGUACGUAAAUCAACCUCAAUGGACGUGAUGCUGACAAACCUCAUCAAGGGGUAUCUGUGUCCCUCUGCUCGCAUCUGGAUCACCUCCAGACCAGCAGCAGCUGAUCUCAUCCCCCCUGAGUGUGUUGAUCGAGUCACAGAGGUACGAGGCUUCAGUGAUCCACAGAAGGAGAAAUACUUCAGGAAGAAAAUCGGUGAUAAAAGUCUGUCUGAUCAAAUCAUCUCACACCUGAAGUCAUCCAGGAGUCUCUUCAUCAUGUGUCACAUCCCAGUCUUCUGCUGGAUUUCCGGCACUGUUCUAGAGACAAUAUUGAGGAAGGCAAAAAAACGAGAGAUCCCCAAGACUCUCACUCAAAUGUACACACACUUCCUGAUCAUUCAGAAGGACUACGAGAAGAAUAAAGACAUGGUCUUCAAAAUGUGUAAACUGGCUUUUGAGCAGAUUAUGAAAGGCAAUCUGAUCUUCUAUGAUGAAGACUUGAGAGAGUGUGGCAUUGAUGUAUCAGAAGCAUCAGUGUACUCAGGAUUGUGUACUCAGAUCUUCAGAGAGGAGUUUGGUUUGUGUCAGAGGAAAAUUUACAGCUUUUUUCAUCCGAGCAUUCAGGAACAUCUAGCAGCUCUACAUGUGCACCUCUCUUUUAUGAACAACAACAUAAGUGUGUUAACUGCAUUUGAAAUGAAUCAAAGUUGUAAGCCUUCAAUUCCUGAUCUGUAUCAUAGAGCUAUAGAUGAGACUGUGAAGAGUAAAAAUGGACAUCUGGAUCUCUUUCUUCGUUUUUUUCUGGGUUUGUCACUGCCGUUGAAUCAGAAUCUCAUACCAGGUCUGAGGUUACUGACAUGCUACAACUGUCAGAUCAAUGCGAAAACAAUCAAAUACAUAAAAGAGAAGAUCAGGAAGAAUCCUUCACCAGAGAAAUCCAUCAAUCUGCUUCAGUGUCUGAAUGAACUGGGUGAUGUUUUACUAGUGAGGGAAAUCCAACAAUAUCUGACAUCUACAAUAAUAAAUAAAACCACACUGUCUUCAUAUCAGUGGUCAGCUAUAGUUUCGGUGAUGCUGACAUCAGGACACGAGCUAAAGAAUUUUACUAUGAAUCCGUUUGUUAAAGGAAUCAAUGCUGAAUCACUGAAAGUUCUUAAGGAGCUGCUGCCUGUGAUUUGUGAAUCCAGAUCAGUUCAGUUAAUUUCUUGGAAUAUCACAGAUGAACGUUGUGUUGCUCUGUCUUCAGCUCUGAGAUCAAACCCAUCACACCUGAGAGAACUGAAUCUGGGUCAUAAUAAACUGAAAGAUUCAGGAGUGAAGCUGCUCUCUGACAUACUGAAGAAUCCUGACUGUAAACUGCAGAUACUGAAGUUGAAUUCUUGUUAUAUCAGAGUUGAAGGUUGUGCUGCUCUGACUUCAGCUCUAAAAUCAAACCCAUCACACCUGAGAGAACUGAAUCUGUCUAAUAAUUUUCUUGGAGAUUUAGCAAUGGAGCAUCUCUCUGAUCUACUGGAGCAUCCUGACUGUAAACUGGAGAAACUCUGGUUGAGUUUUUGUAAUAUCACAGAUGAAGGUUGUGUUGCUCUGUCGUCAGCUCUGACAUCAAACCCAUUCCAUCUGAGAGAACUGAAUCUAUGUAAUAAUAAACUUGGAGAUUUAGGAGUGAAGCUGCUGUCUGCUGUACUGGAGAAUACUCGCUGUAAACUGGAGAUACUAAAGUUGACUGAUUGUUAUAUCACAGAUGAAGGUUGUUUUGCUCUGACUUCAGCUCUGAGAUUAAACCCAUCACACCUGACAGAUCUGUUUUUGUCUAAUAAUAAUCUGGGAGAUUUAGGAAUGAAGCUGAUCUCUGAUCUGACAAAUGAUUUAAAUUACAAACCGAAAAAACUAAGGGAAGACCUUGCAUUUUCCAACAUGACAAUGCCAGACCACAUAGUGCAUCAAUUACAACAUCAAGACUGCAUAGAAGAAGGAUCUGAUUACUGAAAUGGCCAGCCUGCAGUCCAGAUCUGUCACCCACAGAAAAUAUUUGGUGCAUCAUAAAGAGGAAGAUGCGACAAAGAAGACCUAAGACAAAUCAUAGUAAAAUGAACUCAUAACAAGAGUUGAAACUGUAAGAUGGUGUCAAACCCGGACAAAUGCCUUCAAAUGGAUGGAUCCAUCGGAGCCAUUUUUUGAAAACAUUUAAUUCAUGUUGAAUCAACAUCUGAAACCUCUCUCAAAUAAUUCACAUCUACCCCCAAGAAGGCCAACACCAUGGUUUGGGGACAAAGUCUCACACCCCACCAAGCUGUUCAACUCUCAGGACAAACUGUAUGUGAAAUGCUGCAUUGUGCAUGCACAGAGUGUCUGAAACCGGCCUUGUUUGAUGUCAUAUGAAGUAUUUUAAUAAAAGCGGUACAAUUUGGUUGAUUUAUAUAACAACAGAAUUCAAUAAUAAAAUGUAAUAAUACAUUAAGAAAACUUCACUCACCUUUUAGGCAUAAAACAAUUACUCACUGUAUGCAAAUUAAGGACAGCCCUGUGUUUACAGGCACCAAUCAGUACCAAAUUCCCAUAUGCUUUGUUCUCUCUGGAUAGUUAAAGAAAAGUUUGUAAAUAGUGCAGGGGGAUUUUCUCUUUUCAGAAAUGAACCCCAUGAUGAUGUGUCUUGGGUAUUUUUAUUUUAUUUUGCUUACCAUGUAUGCAAUGGUUUUUCCUUUGUUUCGUAUUUGAAUUGUUUGUAAAUUGGCUUCUGAAUUGUUUUUCCUACCUGGUUAAUAAAUUGUUACGUUUGUUUUCAUUCUACUUUGCUCUGUGUUAUUGACUCUUCUAAGCUGUUAUAAAGUAUUACGAUAUAUCGUUGACACCAUAAACCCACGGCCGUGGUAUAAAUUCAUGCUAAUCGUCUAUACCGCUAACUAAGUGGACAAUCAGGUGAUAAGUCAGGACCUCUGAUCAUUAUCUCUACUAUAAUUAUAUUAUUAUAUGUUCAUAUGAUUUACUAUAUCAGGUUAGACGGCGCCUUCUUGUACCUCUGGUUAUAGUAUGAGUUCUGUAAUAAGUUGUUUAUAGGUAAUUGGCUGGGGUAUUUUUUUAAUAAGGGCACGCUAGCAUGGGGCAGUUUCUUCAACCAUUUCCUCUGGUUACACGGAUGGACAAAUUAUUUUAUUCUAACUAAGUCGUAUGUAAUUGUGAUUGGCUAUAAGGUAUUAGACAUCGCAUGUGAAGUUAAAGAACCUGUUUUAGUCCCUUGAGUUUUAAGGGCAAGUGGGACUUAAGGUAAUACUUUAGCAUUUAAGGGUAAAUAAACUCAGCAAAAAAAGAAACGUCCCUUUUUCAGUACUGUGUAUUUCAUCAAUAAUGUUGUAGAAAUCCAAAUAACUUUACAGAUCUUCAUUGUAAAGGGUUUAAACAUUGUUUUCCAUGCAUGUUCAAUUAACCAUAAUCAUUAAAUUAACAUGCACCUGUGGAAUGGUCAUUAAGACCUUAACAGCUUACAGGGACUAGGCAUUUCAGGUCACAGUUCUAAAAACGCAGGACACUAAAGAGACUUGUCUACCGACUGUGAAAAACAACCAAAAAAGAUGCCCAGGGUCCCUGUUCAUCUUCAUGAACAUGCAUUAGGCAUGCUGCAGGGAGGCAUGGGGACUGCUGAUGUGGCUAGGGCAAUAAAUGGCCAUGUCCACACUGUGAGACGCCUAAGACAACGCUACAGGGAGACAGGAAGGACAGCUGAUCAUCCUCGCAGUGGAAGACCACCUGUAACAACACCUGCAGAGGAUCGGUACAUCCGAAUAUCACACCUUCGUGACAGGUACAGGAUGGCCACAAAAACUGCCUGAUUCAUGGCAGGAACACACAAUUCCUCCAUCAGUGCACAGACUGUCCACAAGAGGCUGAGAGAGUCUGGACUGAGGGCUUGUAGGCCUGUUGUAAGGCAGGUCCUUACCAGACAUCACCAGCAACAACGCCGCCUAUGGGCACAAACCCACCUUCACUGGACCAGACAGGAGUGGAAAAAGUGCUCUUCACUGAUGAGUCACGGUUUUGU
Molecule: RNA transcript, 4988 nt
Organism: Paramisgurnus dabryanus
Lineage: Eukaryota; Metazoa; Chordata; Actinopteri; Cypriniformes; Cobitidae
Gene name: NLR family CARD domain-containing protein 3-like
Source: RefSeq, a predicted model, not a curated record